UACGUAGGGGGCGAGCGUUGUCCGGAAUCAUUGGGCGUAAAGCGUGCGCAGGCGGCUGUGCAAGACAGAUGUGAAAUCCCCGGGCUCAACCUGGGAACUGCAUUUGUGACUGCACAGCUAGAGUCCGGAAGAGGCGAGUGGAAUUCCCGGUGUAGCGGUGAAAUGCGCAGAUAUCGGGAGGAACACCAAUGGCGAAGGCAGCUCGCUGGGACGGUACUGACGCUGAGACGCGAAAGCGUGGGGAGCAAACAGG
RNAcentral lists this ribosomal RNA (253 nucleotides) under uncultured bacterium. RNAcentral describes it as "partial 16S ribosomal RNA". It matches the Rfam family "Bacterial small subunit ribosomal RNA", at positions 524 to 776 of the family's 1533-position model. The record is from RNAcentral.